CAGUGAGGUAGAGGCGCGGUGUUUAACAGUCUUUAGCGGAGCUUGAGAAGCGAUGAUGCUAGGGAGAAGGAAAUAUCGCCGAAGCGGGCACAUAUAUCUCAGUAUUGCCUGCUGGGUCUGCAGUUAAGAGCUGCAGGACUGUCUCAAUGGGCUUCCCGGCUUAUUGAGUUGUGCUAUCUCAUUU
This 184-nucleotide non-coding RNA is filed under the name Bacillus infantis. RNAcentral describes it as "Lysine sequence". It matches the Rfam family "Lysine riboswitch aptamer". Rfam says of the family: Riboswitches are metabolite binding domains within certain messenger RNAs that serve as precision sensors for their corresponding targets. Allosteric rearrangement of mRNA structure is mediated by ligand binding, and this results in modulation of gene expression. The record is from RNAcentral. Lineage: Bacteria; Bacillati; Bacillota; Bacilli; Caryophanales; Bacillaceae. RNAcentral also lists the same sequence under 1 other name.